AAGAAAAGGUGGAUGUUCCUGCUAUGUUUGCAGGAUUUAUGGUUGAUCAUAGAGGAAGAUCCACAUUUUCAG
Sus scrofa (pig) is the source of this 72-nucleotide microRNA precursor. The record is from Rfam. NCBI's taxonomy places the organism in Eukaryota, Metazoa, Chordata, Mammalia, Artiodactyla, Suidae.